This 687-nucleotide ribosomal RNA is filed under the name uncultured bacterium. RNAcentral describes it as "bacterial SSU rRNA". It matches the Rfam family "Bacterial small subunit ribosomal RNA", at positions 66 to 767 of the family's 1533-position model. The record is from RNAcentral.
ACGAUUAAAGCUCCCUUCGGGGAGUGUAUAGAGUGGCGCACGGGUGAGUAACACGUAAGUAAUCUACCUUCGAGUGGGGAAUAACAGUCGGAAACGGCUGCUAAUACCGCAUAAUGCAGCGGCAUCGCAAGAUGACAGUUGUUAAAGAUUUAUUGCUUGAAGAGGAGCUUGCGGCAGAUUAGCUAGUUGGUAAGGUAAUGGCUUACCAAGGCUACGAUCUGUAUCCGGUCUAAGAGGACGGUCGGACACACUGACACUGAAUAACGGGUCAGACUCCUACGGGAGGCAGCAGUCGGGAAUUUUGGGCAAUGGGGGAAACCCUGACCCAGCAACGCCGCGUGAAGGAUGAAGUAUUUCGGUAUGUAAACUUCGAAAGAAUGGGAAGAAUAAAUGACGGUACCAUUUAUAAGCUCCGGCUAACUACGUGCCAGCAGCCGCGGUAAUACGUAGGGAGCAAGCGUUGUUCGGAUUUACUGGGCGUAAAGGGCGCGUAGGCGGCGCGGUAAGUCACUUGUGAAAUCUCUGAGCUUAACUCAGAACGGCCAAGUGAUACUGCAGUGCUAGAGUGCAGAAGGGGCAAUCGGAAUUCUUGGUGUAGCGGUGAAAUGCGUAGAUAUCAAGAGGAACACCUGAGGUGAAGACGGGUUGCUGGGCUGACACUGACGCUGAGGCGCGAAAGCCAGGGGA